This 221-nucleotide long non-coding RNA is filed under the name Hordeum vulgare. RNAcentral's name for it is "long non-coding RNA (HVUL_LNC002180)". Lineage: Eukaryota; Viridiplantae; Streptophyta; Magnoliopsida; Poales; Poaceae. The record is from RNAcentral.
UUUUUUUCCUUUUUCUUUUUUCCUUUUUUCUUUUUCCUGUUUUCUUUUUCUUUUUGUUUCCUUUUUCUUUUUCCUGUUUCUUCUUUUAUUUUUCUUUUUUCCUUUUUUCUGUUUCCUGUUUUCUUUUUCUUUUUGUUUCCUUUUUCUUUUUCCUGUUUCUUCUUUUAUUUUUCUUUUUUCCUUUUUCUGUUUCCUGUUUUCUUUUUCUUUUUGUUUUCUUU